Molecule: ribosomal RNA, 107 nt
Organism: Panthera pardus (leopard)
Lineage: Eukaryota; Metazoa; Chordata; Mammalia; Carnivora; Felidae
Source: Ensembl
ACCACCCUGAACGCACCUGAUCUCAUCUGAUCUCAGAAGCUAAGCAGGGUCAAGCCUGGUUAGUACUUGGAUGGGAGACAGAGUACUUUUAACAUAGAUACUUGGUA